This 766-nucleotide ribosomal RNA is filed under the name Mycobacteroides abscessus subsp. abscessus. RNAcentral describes it as "bacterial LSU rRNA". It matches the Rfam family "Bacterial large subunit ribosomal RNA", at positions 1966 to 2731 of the family's 2925-position model. The record is from RNAcentral. Lineage: Bacteria; Bacillati; Actinomycetota; Actinomycetes; Mycobacteriales; Mycobacteriaceae.
AUCUUGUCGGGUAAGUUCCGACCUGCACGAAUGGCGUAACGACUUCUCAACUGUCUCAACCAUAGACUCGGCGAAAUUGCACUACGAGUAAAGAUGCUCGUUACGCGCGGCAGGACGAAAAGACCCCGGGACCUUCACUAUAGCUUGGUAUUGGCGUUUGGUUCGGUUUGUGUAGGAUAGGUGGGAGACUGUGAAGCAGGCACGCCAGUGUUUGUGGAGUCAUCGUUGAAAUACCACUCUGAUCGUAUUGAACCUCUAACCUCGGACCGUAUAUCCGGUCCAGGGACAGUGCCUGGUGGGUAGUUUAACUGGGGCGGUUGCCUCCCAAAAUGUAACGGAGGCGCCCAAAGGUUCCCUCAACCUGGACGGCAAUCAGGUGUUGAGUGCAAGUGCACAAGGGAGCUUGACUGCGAGACCUACAAGUCAAGCAGGGACGAAAGUCGGGACUAGUGAUCCGGCACCUCUGAGUGGAAGGGGUGUCGCUCAACGGAUAAAAGGUACCCCGGGGAUAACAGGCUGAUCUUCCCCAAGAGUCCAUAUCGACGGGAUGGUUUGGCACCUCGAUGUCGGCUCGUCGCAUCCUGGGGCUGGAGCAGGUCCCAAGGGUUGGGCUGUUCGCCCAUUAAAGCGGCACGCGAGCUGGGUUUAGAACGUCGUGAGACAGUUCGGUCUCUAUCCGCCGCGCGCGUCAGAAACUUGAGGAAACCUGUCCCUAGUACGAGAGGACCGGGACGGACGAACCUCUGGUGUACCAGUUGUUCCACCA